CCUUGAACUUUCCAUCUCAGGUCGGCCACUACUACUAGUACUCCAUUCAUGGCUAGCUUCUAUUAUAUAUACAUACAGAUCACCUCAGGAUAUCCUCAUUGUUCUUCUCAUUAUCUAAGCCCGCAAAUUACCAAUAUUCCCUUCCACAUUUAAGCUUCUAAAUCUCUUGAAUUGCAUUCAUGGCCACCCAAACACCCUCUUCAUCUACUUCAGAAGUUAGUAAGAAAAGAAAAAGAAGACCCACUUCAUCUACUUCUGAACUUGGUAAGAAAAGAAAAGGAGAUGAUUCAUCUCCGCCUCGAUGGAAAUAUGAAGUUUUCCUUAGUUUCUAUGGCAAAGACACUCGUAAGAGUUUUACGGAUCAUCUAUAUGUUGAUUUAAAACGGAAAGGCAUUCUCGUCUUUAGGGAUGAUGAAACACUCCAGCGAGGAGAAUACAUUUCUAAAGCGCUUCUGAAAGCAAUUCGAGAAUCACAAUACGCGAUCGUCAUUUUCUCUGCAAAUUAUGCUUUUUCCAAAUGGUGCCUCAUGGAACUUGCUGAGAUAGUUGAAUGGGAGGAAAAGAAAAGGCUCACAGUUCUUCCUAUUUUCUACCAUGUGGAUCCUUGUGACGUGAGAAAUCAGAGUGGGUCUUUUGCAGAAGCGUUCACUGCACAUGAAAAAGAUCCCAAGAUAGACAAGAAAGAUACGGAUAUGUGGAAAAAUGCUUUGAGAAAAGCCGGCAGUAUCGCCGGAUGGCACAUACACGACAGGUAUGAAUCAACAAUUAUACAAGAAAUCAGCGGACGUCUAUCUCGUGAGUUAAAUUCCAAAUUCUCACGUCAUGAUUAUGAUAAACUUGUUGCAAUAGACUCCCAUGUAGACAAAAUGAUGGAGUUACUGGAUAUGGAAUCGGAUGAUGUUCGCUUCGUAGGAAUUCAUGGGAUGGGUGGCGUUGGUAAGACAACGCUGGCCGAAAUAAUUUAUGAUAGAGUUUCUUCUGAUUGUCGAUUUGAAGGAAGCAGCUUUAUUUCUCGUGUUAGAGAAAAAUCUGCUACUGCUCGUGAUCUAGCUUCUUUACAAAAAGAACUUCUUUCUAUGAUCAUGCAAGAAGAAAUACCUAUAUGGGAUCAUCACGAGGGAAUUAGGAUGAUAAAGAAGAUACUGCAGAAUAAAAAAGUUUUUAUCGUCCUUGAUGAUGUGGAUAGCGACGAGCAACUAACGGCAUUAGCAGGGGAUCGGAAAUGGUUUGGUCCAGGGAGUAGGGUGAUUAUAACUAGCAGAGAUAGUCAUCUAUUGAGAACACAUGAAGUGAAGCAUACCUAUAAGGUUAAGCAGCUUGAAACAACAAAAGCUUUGCAACUCUUUAGUUUGUCAGCCUUCAAGAAAACCCAUCCAAUAGAGGAUUACAAGGAUCUAUCUAUGGAUUUUGUAAAUUAUGCUCAAGGCCUUCCUUUAGCUCUUAAAGUUUUGGGUUCCUUCUUAUAUGAGAGAGAAAUAGAUGCAUGGAAAAGUGAGAAAGAUAAACUAAAAGCAAUUCCUAAUCCAAAAAUUAUGGAUGUACUUCAAAUAAGUUUUGAUGGGCUGCAGAAAUUGCAAAAAGAGUUAUUUCUGGAUCUGGCGUGUUUGUUCCAGAAGUCCCUCGUAAGUUACGAGAUGUUAGAAAGUUGUGGUUAUUAUCGCAUCGACAUUGAAGUUCUCAUUGAGAAGUCCCUCAUAAGCAAAUCAAAAUAUGGAUGGUGUAAGGAUUUGUCCAUGCAUGAUUUGCUAAAAGAAAUGGGCCAGGAAUUAGUUCGCUGUGAAUGCCCUCAAGUACCUGGACAACGUAGUAGACUGUUUCAUGUGGAGGAUCUCUAUCAAGUACUGAAGAAUGAUACUGGAACUGAUGCAAUUAAAGGCAUAGUCAUGGAUUUUUGUCCUAAAACGAAACAGAGACUCAACGCCGAAGCAUUGUCAAAAAUGAGAAAAUUGAGAUUUUUUAAAUUCCAUCAUUCUCAAAAUAUAAAAUGGCAUGGAAACCCUUUAAAAUACAUGCCAACCAAUGAGUUGCAAUUCCUAGAGUGGUCUGGAUAUCAUUUGAAAUCCUUGCCGAGCAGUUUCCAACCAAAAAAUCUUACUGUACUAAGGAUGUCUCGCAGCCACAUCAAACAACUAUGGAAGGGACCGAUGGAUUUAGACAAUUUGAAGGAAUUUGAUCUGAGUUAUUCUGAGAACUUGAUUGAAACACCAGAUUUGACAGGAGCCCCAAAUCUUGAGAACAUAAACCUGAAAGGUUGUAAAAACUUGUGUGAGGUCCACCCAUCCAUCGGAAGUCUCAAACGAUUAAAACAAUUGGCACUUUACGAAUGUUCAAGCCUUGAGAAGUUGCCAGACCUGAGUAAGUUGGAAUGCCUGACAAAUUUGUGGGUAAAGGAAACUGCUAUAACACAAAUACCAUCUGUCAAUCUACUCCCCAAGAGCAUGAGUCUUUUUACUUUUGAAGGACGCGAGUUGAUGAGAGAUUCCACCUAUGAUAUCGGAUCACUUGUAGAAUAUCAUAUGGAAGGAAAACAUGAGGUACAAGUAAGGUGCAUUGAUUUUGACAGCAAAGCAGAAAAAAUUUUAGACAUCGCAGGUGGAAUUGUUGCGAAAUUAAAUGGCGAUGCGAUGAUGAUAAGUGGGUGGUCGCUGGGAUUCAAUAUCCCGGAGUGGGUCCGGUAUAAAAGUAAUGGCUCCUCUGUAACGAUAGAUUUGGAUGGUAUUACGAAUCCGGAGAUGGGGUGUGCUCUCUUUAUUGUUUGUGAUUCUGAUGAAUUCUAUCCCCUUGAUGAAGAUACUUCAAUUUCUUUGUUAUUCAAGAAAUGCAUUGAUUUUUCAACGGUGCGUCUUGACUUAUUGUUUAGGAGGGAUGAAGAAGAAUAUUGGGAAGAAUGUUCUUUUAGAUACUAUUAUAUGCCUCCUCUCUUGGACGGUUGUUUAACUAAGGGAAUUGGAUUCUGGGUGUAUAUACCGGCAGUUUUGCAGUUUUUGCAGUUUUUGAAUAUACGAAGGAGGUUCAUUAAGAUUUCAUUUCAAGCAUGCUUGUUUGAUGAAUUAGGUCUUGAUCCAUUGAUAGAAGUGAAAGAAUGCGGGGUGCAUUUAGUAUGUCCAGAUGAUGGUGCCAAGUCAGAGUUCUUUAAUAGCAUUGCUCCUUUUCGCCGUUCGGUAUCUUCAGAUUCAGAUUCAAAUUCAGAUUUCCAUCGUCUAUAUAGUGCUGUUAUUGGAAAGAAAAAGGAAACGGGAUUUGGAAAUUUCCAUAUUAGGCGAGCGAGCUCAGUGGAGCUAUUUCAUCUACUAUUCAGAGAGAUGUGCAGAAUGUUUGAGAAUCUUAAACUAUAAAAUCCUCAAAUAAUGUUCUCUGCUAUUAAUUUGCAGUGGAUUUAAAAUUACCAUUUACCAAGAAGGCUUUUUGUUUGUUUUUUUUUUUUAAUUCUGGAUAGCUUUUUAUUCUGAAACAGUACGUGAAUUAUGCUCCUUUCUGUUGGUGUUUAUAAGUUUAUUGUGCAUUAGAAUUUCAAUGUUCUAUAGUUUCUUGUGCUUCAAAGUAUCACGAGAUGUGUAUCUUAAUUUGCAAAAUACUUCUACUAUUAGGAAUUAGCUUUGCGGUCUUAAGUGUUCUCUUGAAGAGGAUUGGAAAGUAGUACGUGAAAAUCAAGAUCCCCUGAAAUUCUAAUAUUUUGCUUACCAUAUUAAUUAAUUUGUAUUUAAUUUCCAGAGCUAGUAGUUUUCUUUUCUUUUCUCCCCAAAUGAGAAUAAUUGGAAUUGAUUCUAUGCCAAUUACGUGUUAUUUUUCUUGAGCGGGUGGUUGUAAUAUUUGUUAUAACUUGUUUCUACGUACCUCUGAUAAAGGUAAAAAAGUGUCUUUGAAAGGAAGUUAUGAAGUGGCAGACAUGGUAUUGUUGUAAUGUCUAUUAAAAUGAGGGAAAAUCAACAGUUUUUGAGUGCAAGUUGCGCCCAGAGUAUCUUAUAGUUACUUUGUUCGUAGAGCAGCAAAAAAUUAAACAAAUCAGCAUUUGUUGCGCUGUGGAUAUUCCAUUAUUUGGUGCUUUGAGAUUAUGAAGUACUUGCCAUGCUGACCUAAUUAUUCUCUUCACUCCAAAGGAAAAUUUUCAUGCUGAUUAUUUCCUUUUUUUUUUUUUUUAAAGGCAUUUUUUUUUCUUCUUGGUUCAAAGGGUUUACCUUUCUAUUGUCACCGUUACAAAAUUUCUAUUUUAUUUUUCUUCCUUGAGGUCAGUUUGUGUCUUAGUUGAACGUAAUGUAUAUUCAUAAUUUGCCACGACCCAACUCCUUUCACCUCAGUUUGCUUUCGUGCUUGUAGGAUGCUAGGCGAAAUGAUGUUGAUCUCAGCCAGUAUAAGGGGAAGAUGCUCUUGAUGGUCAAUGUCGCAUCGCAAUGGUGGAUGUGAAUGGUAAAGAAGCUGCUCCGUUGUACAAGUUCUUGAAGUCUAGCAAAGGUGGGCCUAUUUGGAGACAAUAUAAAGUGGAAUUUUUCUAAAUUCCUGGUUGAUAAAGAUGGGAAUGUUGUUGACCGUUAUGCAAAGGUGGCCAUAGAAAAAAUGAAGCCAUAGCUUGUUUUGUAAUGGACUUUUGUUUUUGUACUGGACUUUUGCAUUUGUAUUGGACAUGCCACUAAGUAAUUAUUCCAACAUAUUUUGGUGUAUUGAGAAGUUGUACAUAUGUCUUUCUCGAACUUUGUUGGAGCUUGGAGUUGUAAAUAUGUGUAGCUCUAGUUUUGGUAAUUUGAAAAGUUCUACUAGACUUUUGCAUCUAGUUGAAGUUUCAGUCAAAUUACAAAGUCCAAGAAAUGAUACUGUCAACUAUGAUUUCCGGUUU
Molecule: RNA transcript, 4828 nt
Organism: Carya illinoinensis
Lineage: Eukaryota; Viridiplantae; Streptophyta; Magnoliopsida; Fagales; Juglandaceae
Gene name: disease resistance protein RPV1-like
Exons: 6
Source: RefSeq, a predicted model, not a curated record